RNAcentral lists this ribosomal RNA (200 nucleotides) under uncultured bacterium. RNAcentral describes it as "partial 16S ribosomal RNA". It matches the Rfam family "Bacterial small subunit ribosomal RNA", at positions 8 to 220 of the family's 1533-position model. The record is from RNAcentral.
AGAGUUUGAUCAUGGCUCAGAAUCAACGCUGGCGGCGCGCUUAACACAUGCAAGUCGCACGAGAAAGAGGGGGCAACUCCUUAAGUAAAGUGGCGCACGGGUGAGUAACACGUGGAUCAUCUACCUUUUAGUGGGGAAUACCCCCGGGAAACUGGGGACAAUUCCGCAUAAUCUCGCGAGAGGAAAGCAGCAAUGCGCUG